AUUGAACGCUGGCGGCAUGCUUUACACAUGCAAGUCGAACGGUAACAGGCCGCAAGGUGCUGACGAGUGGCGAACGGGUGAGUAAUGCAUCGGAACGUGCCCAGUCGUGGGGGAUAACUACUCGAAAGAGUAGCUAAUACCGCAUACGAUCUAUGGAUGAAAGCGGGGGACCGUAAGGCCUCGCGCGAUUGGAGCGGCCGAUGUCAGAUUAGGUAGUUGGUGGGGUAAAGGCUCACCAAGCCAACGAUCGGUAGCUGGUCUGAGAGGACGACCAGCCACACUGGGACUGAGACACGGCCCAGACUCCUACGGGAGGCAGCAGUGGGGAAUGUUGGACAAUGGGCGCAAGCCUGAUCCAGCAAUGCCGCGUGCAGGAAGAAGGCCUUCGGGUUGUAAACUGCUUUUGUACGGAACGAAACGGCUCUGGUUAAUACCCGGGGCUAAUGACGGUACCGUAAGAAUAAGCACCGGCUAACUACGUG
This 482-nucleotide ribosomal RNA is filed under the name uncultured bacterium. RNAcentral describes it as "partial 16S ribosomal RNA". It matches the Rfam family "Bacterial small subunit ribosomal RNA", at positions 30 to 507 of the family's 1533-position model. The record is from RNAcentral.